AAAAAAAGAUGAUUAUAUUCUCAAUUUUGAGGGAUAAUUAAAAAGGUCAUCGACAUGUUUACGACGUGCAAAAAGGCAUUUCAUUAAUUCGAGACAUCACCUCGUUUCAUUGACAUACUAUGAGUUACCAUGAGCCACUAAUUAACCAUCAAUCUAGUUCUAGUUAAAAAUUGAAUAUUCAUUACGAAAUUAAAAAUAGAAUUAAAAAAAAUAUAAAAUAUUUUCAUGCACUAUUUCACGAAAAUGAUAUAAAGAAAUUUUUCAUUUACAUAAAUAACAUAAAUUUUUUAAAUUCAUUUGUGCAUUAAAAAAAAGAUGAAUUAAGUUGUAAAAUGUUUUAUCUCAAAUUUGAUUACAAGCAACAUAAAAUCGUGUAGAUUCGACAUAUAGAAAAAUGUAUAUCGAAAUAAUUUUUUGUACUAUACAAAUCGAUUAUAUAUACAUAUAACAUAUAUAAUAUACAAUAUAUAUUAUAUAUAUAUAAACUAACGGAAAAAAAGAAAAUAUGAAAUACAGAAAAAAAUUUCAGGUAAAACAAAGUAUUCGCUAUAGAUCGUAAAAUGUACGAUGUAACACUAACAAUAAAAAUAUUUAAUCAAAAUUAUCAUUUAGAAACUUCUGUAUGUUUCUAAUGAUCUAAAAAUUUUUGAGAUGAGGUACAUUUAUUUUAACGAAGAAUAAAAAAAAAAAAAAAGAAAUAGGGAAAAAAUGGCAAUUUCGAUCUAUUUUGUAUGCCAUCUCUUACCUUUCAUUAUUAUAAAUUACUACUAUGAUCGAAUAAAAUUAUCAGUCAAGACAUCUAAGAAAGAACAAAUCGUUGGACAGAAGAGAUCAAAUACAUCUUUGAAAGAUCUAAUCUAUCCGACGAUGAGAUCAAGUUCAUCGUUCGGCGAUGGUGGAAAACGUCUACAUAGACUCGCGUAUUAUCUACAAAAUACUUUAAUCAUAAUAUUAAUUAAUAAUAUACAGAUUGUAAAUAACUAAACAAUAAUAAAAUAUGCUGUAACAAAUUCAUCCACUUUUUGCUUCUCUGUCUAUCUCUAUUUCUCUCUCUCUCAUUUACUCACUCAUUCUCUCACUCUGUCUCUCACUCAAUCACACGUCGCUCACUCUCAUAACUCACAUUGUUUUUAUUUUUAUUUUAUUCACUCCAUCAUAAAGAAAAGAUCCGACGGGGAGCCGGAACAGGGAAGAAGGCACAGGGCACAUCAAUUAAAAAAGUAGCAUUCUUCUUUUGAUAAUCAUUUCCAAUGUACAUCUAGCUUUUUCAUAGCUAAUAAAUCAAUGAUUGAUAUCAUAUACGUAUUAAAUUUUCUUUAACUUUUGGAAUCUCAAAAACCAAAGGAAAAUAAAAUAUGAAAGGAAAAGAAAAAAAAA
Molecule: long non-coding RNA, 1377 nt
Organism: Apis dorsata (giant honeybee)
Lineage: Eukaryota; Metazoa; Arthropoda; Insecta; Hymenoptera; Apidae
Exons: 2
Source: RefSeq, a predicted model, not a curated record